UUUCUAUGAUGACCCAAACUAGCUCACUAUGAUUGACAAUGAAAAUAUAUGAACACCUGAGAAAC
Urocitellus parryii (Arctic ground squirrel) is the source of this 65-nucleotide small nucleolar RNA. The record is from Ensembl. NCBI's taxonomy places the organism in Eukaryota, Metazoa, Chordata, Mammalia, Rodentia, Sciuridae.